AGAGUUUGAUCCCGGCUCAGAAUGAACGCUGGCGGCGCGCCUAACACAUGCAAGUCGAACGACUCAGGGUUUUCGGACUCUGAUUAACCUGGCGGACGGGUGAGUAACGCGUGGGUAAUAUGCCCUUUAGUGGGGGAUAACCCGUGGAAACGCGGGGGAAUACCGCAUAAUGCCGCAAGGGAUACCUUGCGGGGAAAGGCUUCSGUCGCUGAAGGAGUAGCCCGCGUCCGAUUAGCUAGUUGGUGAGGUAWGGGCUCACCAAGGCCACGAUCGGUASCCGGUCUGAGAGGAUGAACGGCCACACUGGGACUGAGACACG
This 319-nucleotide ribosomal RNA is filed under the name uncultured bacterium. Its description in RNAcentral is "bacterial SSU rRNA". It matches the Rfam family "Bacterial small subunit ribosomal RNA", at positions 8 to 328 of the family's 1533-position model. The record is from RNAcentral.